GGGAACCGAGUAGAGUGGCGCACGGGUGAGUAACACGUGGAUAAUUUGCCUUCGGGUGGGGAAUAACGUCUCGAAAGAGACGCUAAUACCGCAUAAUGCAGCGGCAUCUAUGAUGACAGUUGUUAAAGCGGGGGAUCGCAAGACCUCGCGCCUGAAGAGAAGUCCGCGGCAGAUUAGCUAGUUGGUAGGGUAAUGGCCUACCAAGGCAACGAUCUGUAGCCGGCCUGAGAGGGCGGUCGGCCACACUGACACUGACAUACGGGUCAGACUCCUACGGGAGGCAGCAGUCGGGAAUUUUGGGCAAUGGGCGAAAGCCUGACCCAGCAACGCCGCGUGAAGGAUGAAGUUUUUCGGAAUGUAAACUUCACAAGAAUGGGAAGAAUAAGUUGAAGCUAACACCUUCGACGAUGACGGUACCAUUUGUAAGCUCCGGCUAACUCCGUGCCAGCAGCCGCGGUAAUACGGGGGGAGCAAGCGUUGUUCGGAUUUACUGGGCGUAAAGGGCGCGUAGGCGGCGCAACAAGUCACUUGUGAAAUCUCCGGGCUCAACUCGGAACGGUCAAGUGAUACUGUCGUGCUAGAGUGCGGAAGGGGCAACUGGAAUUCUCGGUGUAGCGGUGAAAUGCGUAGAUAUCGAGAGGAACACCUGCGGCGAAGGCGGGUUGCUGGGCCGACACUGACGCUGAAGCGCGAAAGCU
This 698-nucleotide ribosomal RNA is filed under the name uncultured bacterium. RNAcentral describes it as "bacterial SSU rRNA". It matches the Rfam family "Bacterial small subunit ribosomal RNA", at positions 81 to 761 of the family's 1533-position model. The record is from RNAcentral.